AUACGGAGGGUGCAAUCGUUGUUCGGAAUCACUGGGCGUAAAGGGCGCGCAGGCGGUUUGGUAAGUCAGAUGUGAAAGCCCAUGGCUCAACCAUGGAAGUGCAUUUGAAACUGUCAGACUUGAGUACUAGAGGGGAAAGUGGAAUUCCCGGUGUAGAGGUGAAAUUCGUAGAUAUCGGGAGGAAUACCGGUGGCGAAGGCGACUUUCUGGCUAGAUGCUGACGCUGAGGCGCGAAAGCGUGGGGAGCAAACAGGAUUAGAAACCCUGGUAGUCC
This 274-nucleotide ribosomal RNA is filed under the name uncultured bacterium. RNAcentral describes it as "partial 16S ribosomal RNA". It matches the Rfam family "Bacterial small subunit ribosomal RNA", at positions 523 to 796 of the family's 1533-position model. The record is from RNAcentral.